GUAGGUGAACCUGCGGAGGGAUCAUUAACACGUUCCAAACCAACUUAUCAACCCAACUGUGAACUCUUCGUCUCUGCCUCUUGUCGUCGCCAGUGCUCACGGUGCGUGCUGAGAUCCUGGAUGAAGGUGAAGGGAAGGGCUGCUCUGUCUCUCUUUCGAGAGGGGUAGAAGUCCUCCCUUCAUACGGGUCGAGCUGCGCUUCUAUGGUGACCAUUGGUCACCAGCCGUCCUGACGAUGACGAGGCCCAAC
RNAcentral lists this unclassified non-coding RNA (250 nucleotides) under plant metagenome. RNAcentral's name for it is "partial contains small subunit ribosomal RNA, internal transcribed spacer 1, and 5.8S ribosomal RNA". The record is from RNAcentral.